UUGGAGGGCAAGUCUGGUGCCAGCAGCCGCGGUAAUUCCAGCUCCAAUAGCGUAUAUUAAAGUUGUUGCAGUUAAAAAGCUCGUAGUUGAACUUCGGGAUUUGCCCAUUAGUCAGGCUUAACUGUCUGCACUGGUGUGACGAGUUCCUACCUUCUGAGGAAUCUCCAUGUCAUUCAGUUGGUGUGGGGGGAAAUCAGGACUGUUACUUUGAAAAAAUUAGAGUGUUUAAAGCAGGCAUCCGUCUGAAUACAUUAGCAUGGAAUAAUAAAAUAGGACGGUUUGGUUCUAUUUUGUUGGUUUCUAGGAUCACCGUAAUGAUUAAUAGGGAUAGUUGGGGGCAUUAGUAUUCAAUUGUCAGAGGUGAAAUUCUUGGAUUUAUUGAAGACUAACUACUGCGAAAGCAUUUGCCAAGGAUGUUUUCAUUAAUCAAGAACGAAAGUUAGGGGAUCGAAGACGAUCAGAUACCGUCGUAGUCUUAACCAUAAACUAUGCCGACUAGGGAUCGGACGAAGUUAAUUUUUUAAUGACUCGUUCGGCGCCUUACGGGAAAC
RNAcentral lists this ribosomal RNA (551 nucleotides) under uncultured Glomeromycotina. RNAcentral describes it as "SSU rRNA". It matches the Rfam family "Eukaryotic small subunit ribosomal RNA", at positions 548 to 1098 of the family's 1831-position model. The record is from RNAcentral. Lineage: Eukaryota; Fungi; Glomeromycota.